ACGAUCCCAGGCAUGGCAAUAAGCCAGCUACCGGGCAUUAGAGGAAGAGCUGGACAGAGUGUCUGACAAAUAUCCAUCCUCUAGGCAGUUUUAUCCAUCUGCCAACUCUUCCUCCUGGGCUGCACAUGCUUGUGAACCACCCACUGCUGAAAAUGAUCCAUCUGAGUUUAUCAUUUAUACUAGAUGUGCAAGAAAUCAGUUGAACUUCUUUGAUCACAUGUUUGUAGGUCACCUUCUUCUUAAACUGCAUGAUCAAAUAGAUAAAAUAUC
Molecule: non-coding RNA, 270 nt
Organism: Pelobates cultripes (western spadefoot toad)
Lineage: Eukaryota; Metazoa; Chordata; Amphibia; Anura; Pelobatidae
Source: the annotation of a GenBank genome assembly